AUUAAUUUGGCAGAAAAGUGCUUUAGAUUUAGAAUUUAAUAAUGUAUAUUAUACAGUUAGUA
RNAcentral lists this transfer RNA (62 nucleotides) under Ugyops sp. APL-2018. Its description in RNAcentral is "tRNA-Leu". Lineage: Eukaryota; Metazoa; Arthropoda; Insecta; Hemiptera; Delphacidae. The record is from RNAcentral.